CGAAGGUCAAGACGAACAGCUCCGAGUCGACUAUUUUCCAGAAGAACUGAAACAAGGCAACGCCUCCAUAAUCAUCAGAAAUACAACGAGGGCUGACAGUGGAUACUACGACUAUAGUGUUCCAGUAUGAUAAUGGAAAUCUUAACAGUGACGAGGAUCCAGGUCAGAGUGAAGAGUUCAAAGGUCGAGUCUCUCAUUUUCCAGAUGAACUGGAACACGGCAACGCCUCCAUAACCAUCAAAGAAACAAAGAUGGCUGACAGUGGAAUGUACAGCUGUGAAUUUCUAUCACUUCAGAA
Etheostoma spectabile (orangethroat darter) is the source of this 298-nucleotide long non-coding RNA. RefSeq lists it as uncharacterized. The record is from RefSeq and is a predicted model, not a curated record. The transcript has 2 exons. Lineage: Eukaryota; Metazoa; Chordata; Actinopteri; Perciformes; Percidae.